This is a transfer RNA of Debaryomyces hansenii, 86 nucleotides long. It matches the Rfam family "tRNA". From Rfam's summary of the family: Transfer RNA (tRNA) molecules are approximately 80 nucleotides in length. Their secondary structure includes four short double-helical elements and three loops (D, anti-codon, and T loops). Further hydrogen bonds mediate the characteristic L-shaped molecular structure. tRNAs have two regions of fundamental functional importance: the anti-codon, which is responsible for specific mRNA codon recognition, and the 3' end, to which the tRNAs corresponding amino acid is attached (by aminoacyl-tRNA synthetases). tRNAs cope with the degeneracy of the genetic code in two manners: having more than one tRNA (with a specific anti-codon) for a particular amino acid; and 'wobble' base-pairing, i.e. permitting non-standard base-pairing at the 3rd anti-codon position. Lineage: Eukaryota; Fungi; Ascomycota; Pichiomycetes; Serinales; Debaryomycetaceae. The record is from Rfam.
GCCUGGCUAGCUCAAUCGGUAGAGCGUUUGACUCUUAACUAAAAGAAGCAAUCAAAAGGUUGCGGGUUCGAUCCCCGCGUCGGGUU